AGAGGCGGACGGGUGAGUAACGCUUGGGAAUCUGCCUAUUAGUGGGGGACAACCCGGGGAAACUCGGGCUAAUACCGCAUACGCUCUACGGAGGAAAGCCGGGGACCGCAAGGCCUGGCGCUAAUAGAUGAGCCCAAGUCGGAUUAGCUAGUUGGUAGGGUAACGGCCUACCAAGGCGACGAUCCGUAGCUGGUCUGAGAGGACGACCAGCCACACUGGGACUGAGACACGGCCCAGACUCCUACGGGAGGCAGCAGUGGGGAAUAUUGGACAAUGGGGGAAACCCUGAUCCAGCGACGCCGCGUGGGUGAAGAAGGCCUGCGGGUUGUAAAGCCCUUUCGGUGGGGAAGAAAAGCCUCGACCUAACACGUCGGGGUAUUGACGUAACCCACAAAAGAAGCACCGGCUAACUCUGUGCCAGCAGCCGCGGUAAUACAGAGGGUGCGAGCGUUAAUCGGAAUUACUGGGCGUAAAGCGCGCGUAGGCGG
RNAcentral lists this ribosomal RNA (488 nucleotides) under uncultured Gammaproteobacteria bacterium. RNAcentral's name for it is "bacterial SSU rRNA". It matches the Rfam family "Bacterial small subunit ribosomal RNA", at positions 94 to 578 of the family's 1533-position model. The record is from RNAcentral. Lineage: Bacteria; Pseudomonadati; Pseudomonadota; Gammaproteobacteria.